RNAcentral lists this ribosomal RNA (472 nucleotides) under uncultured bacterium. Its description in RNAcentral is "SSU rRNA". It matches the Rfam family "Bacterial small subunit ribosomal RNA", at positions 26 to 521 of the family's 1533-position model. The record is from RNAcentral.
AGGAUGAACGCUGGCGGCGUGCCUAACACAUGCAAGUCGAACGUCCUGUCUCGCAAGAGGCAGGGAGUGGCGGACGGGUGAGUACCACGUGGGUCAUCUACCGUGAGGUGAGGAAUACCGGCGAGAAAUCGCCGACAAGACCGCAUAGGCUCGAUGCAAGUCGAGCAAAGCUCUUUCGAGAGAGGGAGCGCCACACGAGGAGCCUGCGCCCGAUUAGCUAGCUGGUGGAGUAACGGUUCACCAGGGCGACGAUCGGUAGCUGGUCUGAGAGGACGAUCAGCCACACUGGGAUUGAGAACGGCCCAGACUCCUACGGGGGGCAGCAGUGAGGAAUUUUCGUCAAUGGGGGCAACCCUGAACGAGCAACGCCGCGUGCAGGAAGAAGGUUUUCGGAUCGUAAACUGCUUUCUCGGGAGAGAAUGGACGGUACCGAGGAAUCAGCCCCGGCUAACUACGCGCCAGCAGCCGCGGU